UACCCUGUGUGUCCACAUGAGGGCGCUACAU
RNAcentral lists this non-coding RNA (31 nucleotides) under Rattus norvegicus (Norway rat). The record is from RNAcentral. Lineage: Eukaryota; Metazoa; Chordata; Mammalia; Rodentia; Muridae.